GCCCUGGUAGUCCAACCGGCAGGAGACGGCGCCCUCAAAAGGCGCGCAGUGCGGGUUCGAGUCCCGCCCGGGGCA
This 75-nucleotide transfer RNA is filed under the name Actinoplanes sp. SE50/110. Its description in RNAcentral is "tRNA-Leu (CAA) (tRNA-Leu-CAA-2-1)". It matches the Rfam family "tRNA". From Rfam's summary of the family: Transfer RNA (tRNA) molecules are approximately 80 nucleotides in length. Their secondary structure includes four short double-helical elements and three loops (D, anti-codon, and T loops). Further hydrogen bonds mediate the characteristic L-shaped molecular structure. tRNAs have two regions of fundamental functional importance: the anti-codon, which is responsible for specific mRNA codon recognition, and the 3' end, to which the tRNAs corresponding amino acid is attached (by aminoacyl-tRNA synthetases). tRNAs cope with the degeneracy of the genetic code in two manners: having more than one tRNA (with a specific anti-codon) for a particular amino acid; and 'wobble' base-pairing, i.e. permitting non-standard base-pairing at the 3rd anti-codon position. RNAcentral also lists the same sequence under 1 other name. The record is from Rfam by way of RNAcentral. Lineage: Bacteria; Bacillati; Actinomycetota; Actinomycetes; Micromonosporales; Micromonosporaceae.